GGACUACCCGGGUAUCUAAUCCUGUUUGCUCCCCACGCUUUCGUGCCUCAGCGUCAGUUACCGUCCAGAGAGUCGCUUUCGCCACCGGUAUUCCUCCUGAUAUCUACGCAUUUCACCGCUACACCAGGAAUUCCACUCUCCCCUCCGGCACUCUAGCCUUCCAGUUUCUGGCGCACUUCCAAGGCUAAGCCCUGGGCUUUCACGUCAGACUUAAAAAGCCGCCUACGCACCCUUUACGCCCAAUGAUUCCGAGCAACGCUUGCACCCUCCGUCUUACCGCGGCGGCUGGCAC
RNAcentral lists this ribosomal RNA (292 nucleotides) under uncultured bacterium. Its description in RNAcentral is "partial 16S ribosomal RNA". The record is from RNAcentral.